GGAAGGUCGGCGCGGGCGGACAGUUCGCCAAUCCGGUCAGGGCCGAGAGGCAGCAGCCGUAACGAAAUUUGCCGGGUCGCGUUCGGCCUUCCACU
RNAcentral lists this signal recognition particle RNA (95 nucleotides) under Micavibrio aeruginosavorus. RNAcentral describes it as "signal recognition particle sRNA small type". It matches the Rfam family "Bacterial small signal recognition particle RNA". Rfam says of the family: The signal recognition particle (SRP) is a universally conserved ribonucleoprotein involved in the co-translational targeting of proteins to membranes. Lineage: Bacteria; Pseudomonadati; Bdellovibrionota; Bdellovibrionia; Bdellovibrionales; Pseudobdellovibrionaceae. RNAcentral also lists the same sequence under 1 other name. The record is from RNAcentral.